RNAcentral lists this ribosomal RNA (601 nucleotides) under Gracilibacillus sp. ge25. Its description in RNAcentral is "bacterial SSU rRNA". It matches the Rfam family "Bacterial small subunit ribosomal RNA", at positions 116 to 702 of the family's 1533-position model. The record is from RNAcentral. Lineage: Bacteria; Bacillati; Bacillota; Bacilli; Caryophanales; Bacillaceae.
CGUGGGCAACCUGCCUGUAAGACUGGGAUAACUCCGGGAAACCGGGGCUAAUACCGGAUAGUACUUUGGUUCAUAGGAACCGAAGUGGAAAGGUGGCGCAAGCUACCACUUACAGAUGGGCCCGCGGUGCAUUAGCUAGUUGGUGAGGUAACGGCUCACCAAGGCAACGAUGCAUAGCCGACCUGAGAGGGUGAUCGGCCACACUGGGACUGAGACACGGCCCAGACUCCUACGGGAGGCAGCAGUAGGGAAUCUUCCGCAAUGGACGAAAGUCUGACGGAGCAACGCCGCGUGAACGAAGAAGGUUUUCGGAUCGUAAAGUUCUGUUGUUAGGGAAGAACAAGUACCGUUCGAAUAGGGCGGUACCUUGACGGUACCUAUCGAGGAAGCCCCGGCUAACUACGUGCCAGCAGCCGCGGUAAUACGUAGGGGGCAAGCGUUGUCCGGAAUUAUUGGGCGUAAAGCGCGCGUAGGCGGUUUCUUAAGUCUGAUGUGAAAUCUUGCGGCUCAACCGCAAGCGGUCAUUGGAAACUGGGGAACUUGAGUACAGAAGAGGAGAGCGGAAUUCCACGUGUAGCGGUGAAAUGCGUAGAGAUGUGGA